RNAcentral lists this ribosomal RNA (468 nucleotides) under uncultured bacterium. RNAcentral's name for it is "partial 16S ribosomal RNA". It matches the Rfam family "Bacterial small subunit ribosomal RNA", at positions 28 to 507 of the family's 1533-position model. The record is from RNAcentral.
GACGAACGCUGGCGGCGUGCUUAACACAUGCAAGUCGAACGGAAAGGCCCUGCUUUUGUGGGGUGCUCGAGUGGCGAACGGGUGAGUAACACGUGAGUAACCUGCCCUUGACUUUGGGAUCACUUCAGGAAACUGGGGCUAAUACCGGAUAGGAGCUCCUGCUGCAUGGUGGGGGUUGGAAAGUUUCGGCGGUUGGGGAUGGACUCGCGGCUUAUCAGCUUGUUGGUGGGGUAGUGGCUUACCAAGGCUUUGACGGGUAGCCGGCCUGAGAGGGUGACCGGCCACAUUGGGACUGAGAUACGGCCCAGACUCCUACGGGAGGCAGCAGUGGGGAAUAUUGCACAAUGGGCGGAAGCCUGAUGCAGCAACGCCGCGUGCGGGAUGACGGCCUUCGGGUUGUAAACCGCUUUCGCCUGUGACGAAGCGUGAGUGACGGUAAUGGGUAAAGAAGCACCGGCUAACUACGUG